CACACGACUCUCGGCAACGGAUAUCUCGGCUCUCGCAUCGAUGAAGAACGUAGCGAAAUGCGAUACCUGGUGUGAAUUGCAGAAUCCCGCGAACCAUCGAGUCUUUGAACGCAAGUUGCGCCCGAGGYCACCUGGCCGAGGGCACGCCUGCCUGGGCGUCACGC
This 164-nucleotide ribosomal RNA is filed under the name Simplicia laxa. RNAcentral describes it as "5.8S ribosomal RNA". It matches the Rfam family "5.8S ribosomal RNA". From Rfam's summary of the family: 5.8S ribosomal RNA (5.8S rRNA) is a component of the large subunit of the eukaryotic ribosome. It is transcribed by RNA polymerase I as part of the 45S precursor that also contains 18S and 28S rRNA. Functionally, it is thought that 5.8S rRNA may be involved in ribosome translocation. Lineage: Eukaryota; Viridiplantae; Streptophyta; Magnoliopsida; Poales; Poaceae. The record is from RNAcentral.